GGUUAAGCGACUAAGCGUACACGGUGGAUGCCCUGGCAGUCAGAGGCGAUGAAGGGCGUGCUAAUCUGCGAUAAGCGCCGGUAAGGUGAUAUGAACCGUUAUAACCGGCGAUACCCGAAUGGGGAAACCCAGUGUGAUUCGUCACACUAUCAUUAACUGAAUCCAUAGGUUAAUGAGGCGAACCGGGGGAACUGAAACAUCUAAGUACCCCGAGGAAAAGAAAUCAACCGAGAUUCCCCCAGUAGCGGCGAGCGAACGGGGAGGAGCCCAGAGCCUGAAUCAGCAUGUGUGUUAGUGGAAGCGUCUGGAAAGGCGCGCGAUACAGGGUGACAGCCCCGUACACAAAAGCGCAUAUGCUGUGAGCUCGAUGAGUAGGGCGGGACACGUGGUAUCCUGUCUGAAUAUGGGGGGACCAUCCUCCAAGGCUAAAUACUCCUGACUGACCGAUAGUGAACCAGUACCGUGAGGGAAAGGCGAAAAGAACCCCGGCGAGGGGAGUGAAAAAGAACCUGAAACCGUGUACGUACAAGCAGUGGGAGCACAGGUUUACCUGUGUGACUGCGUACCUUUUGUAUAAUGGGUCAGCGACUUAUAUUCUGUAGCAAGGUUAACCGAAUAGGGGAGCCG
Molecule: ribosomal RNA, 627 nt
Filed under: Salmonella enterica subsp. enterica serovar Kentucky
Lineage: Bacteria; Pseudomonadati; Pseudomonadota; Gammaproteobacteria; Enterobacterales; Enterobacteriaceae
Description: partial 23S ribosomal RNA
Rfam family: Bacterial large subunit ribosomal RNA
Source: RNAcentral